Molecule: ribosomal RNA, 253 nt
Filed under: uncultured bacterium
Lineage: Bacteria
Description: partial 16S ribosomal RNA
Rfam family: Bacterial small subunit ribosomal RNA
Source: RNAcentral
UACAGAGGGGGCUAGCGUUGUUCGGAAUUACUGGGCGUAAAGCGCACGUAGGCGGACCAGAAAGUUGGGGGUGAAAUCCCGGGGCUCAACCUCGGAACUGCCUUCAAAACUAUUGGUCUUGAGUUCGAGAGAGGUGAGUGGAAUUCCGAGUGUAGAGGUGAAAUUCGUAGAUAUUCGGAGGAACACCAGUGGCGAAGGCGGCUCACUGGCUCGAUACUGACGCUGAGGUGCGAAAGCGUGGGGAGCAAACAGG